This 253-nucleotide ribosomal RNA is filed under the name uncultured bacterium. RNAcentral describes it as "partial 16S ribosomal RNA". It matches the Rfam family "Bacterial small subunit ribosomal RNA", at positions 524 to 776 of the family's 1533-position model. The record is from RNAcentral.
UACGUAGGGGGCAAGCGUUAUCCGGAUUCACUGGGUGUAAAGGGUGCGUAGGUGGCAAUGUAAGUCAGAUGUGAAAUUUUGGGGCUCAACCUCAAAGCUGCAUCUGAAACUGCGUAGCUAGAGUGCAGGAGAGGAAAGCGGAAUUCCGAGUGUAGCGGUGAAAUGCGUAGAGAUUCGGAGGAACACCAGUAGCGAAGGCGGCUUUCUGGACUGUAACUGACACUGAGGCACGAAAGCGUGGGGAGCAAACAGG